CAAAGCAGCAAAGCCACAACCAGCAACCGACGACCGAAUCGAUUCGCGCGCGCGCGCGCGUCCUCCCUCCCGCCAAUUCCACUGCCUCGCGCGGGAAACGCACGCCACCCGCCCCACCUCGCGCCGGUCCAUAGAUGGAGAUGGUCAGGUCAGAUGCAGAUGGAGAUGGGGAAGAAGGAAGCGGGCAUGGGGGUGGUCUGGGGUCGCCGGAGAGCAGCCCCUCCGCCGGAGGAGGACGACGGCGAGGUCGAGAGGUCCAGAGCCACCAAAGCCAAGAACGACCCCCUCUCCGUCUACGGGCCACGCUGCUGAAGCUUCGACAUGGCUCGGCACAAGCUUUCACAGCCGCGCCGCCGGAUGGGGAUGGCAGGAACGGAGGCGGCGAUGAUGGAGCUGCUAGUGCUCAGAGCAAGCAAACAAACUGAGGGCAUCUAGGGGCUCAAGAUGCUGUGCUGUGUUGUGUUUUGGUUUUCAGGCGUUUUGUAUUCAUUGUGUUACGGUAAAAAUACAAAUAAGAUUAUGGGAAAAUUUGGUUCAAUAGCACUGAAAGAUUAUUGUUCUGGUCUAUAUCACUGGCUCCCUGCUCAACACCAUAACUGUCAGAUAUAGCUCUGAAAUUUCCAACUUGGUUGGCUGAAUGAUCUGAGAACUAGAAGUUGCUUGUUUUUGUUCA
Molecule: long non-coding RNA, 673 nt
Organism: Panicum virgatum (switchgrass)
Lineage: Eukaryota; Viridiplantae; Streptophyta; Magnoliopsida; Poales; Poaceae
Exons: 2
Source: RefSeq, a predicted model, not a curated record